RNAcentral lists this transfer RNA (87 nucleotides) under Actinoplanes palleronii. Its description in RNAcentral is "tRNA-Pro". The record is from RNAcentral. Lineage: Bacteria; Bacillati; Actinomycetota; Actinomycetes; Micromonosporales; Micromonosporaceae.
GCGUAGGUGUGCCGGAGGUCGUGGGUCCGGAACGAAGCUGGGAACUUCGGGUUCAGAUGUUCCCGCGUCCAGUCGCGGGCCCGCGCA